This 328-nucleotide ribosomal RNA is filed under the name uncultured eukaryote. RNAcentral's name for it is "partial 18S ribosomal RNA". It matches the Rfam family "Eukaryotic small subunit ribosomal RNA", at positions 1470 to 1796 of the family's 1831-position model. The record is from RNAcentral.
CCCUUAGAUGUUCUGGGCUGCACGCGCGCUACACUGAUGCGCUCAACGAGUUUUAACCUUGCCUGGAAAGGUUGGGUAAUCUUUUUAAAACGCAUCGUGAUGGGGAUAGAUUAUUGCAAUUAUUCAUCUUCAACGAGGAAUACCUAGUAAACGCAAGUCAUCAACUUGCAUUGAUUACGUCCCUGCCCUUUGUACACACCGCCCGUCGCUCCUACCGAUUGAACGAUCCGGUGAAAACUCAGGACUGAUGACUGACCAGCGGUUCGCCGUUGCCAGUUUCGGGAAUUUGUUUGAACCUUAUCGUUUAGAGGAAGGAGAAGUCGUAACA